CCUACGGGACGCAGCAGUGAGGAAUAUUGGUCAAUGGGAGAGAUCCUGAACCAGCCAAGCCGCGUGAGGGAAGACGGCCCUAUGGGUUGUAAACCUCUUUUGUCGGAGAACAAAACCCGGGACGAGUCCCGGACUGCGUGUAUCCGAAGAAAAAGCAUCGGCUAACUCCGUGCCAGCAGCCGCGGUAAUACGGAGGAUGCGAGCGGUAUCCGGAUUUAUUGGGUUUUAAGGGUGCGUAGGCGGGUCGUUUAGGCAGCGGUAAAAUUG
This 267-nucleotide ribosomal RNA is filed under the name uncultured bacterium. RNAcentral describes it as "partial 16S ribosomal RNA". It matches the Rfam family "Bacterial small subunit ribosomal RNA", at positions 338 to 602 of the family's 1533-position model. The record is from RNAcentral.